CCUACGGGUGGCAGCAGUAGGGAAUAUUGCUCAAUGGGGGAAACCCUGAAGCAGCAACGCCGCGUGUAGGAUGAAGGUUUUCGGAUUGUAAACUCCUGUUGUUAGAGAAGAUAAUGACGAUAUCUAACGAAUAAGCACCGGCUAACUCCGUGCCAGCAGCCGCGGUAAUACGGAGGGUGCAAGCGUUACUCGGAAUCACUGGGCGUAAAGAGUGCGUAGGCGGGAUAGCAAGUCAGAUGUGAAAUCCCAUGGCUCAACCAUAGAACUGCAUUUGAAACUGGUAUUCUAGAGUAUGGGAGAGGUAGGUGGAAUUCCUAGUGUAGGGGUAAAAUGCGUAGAGAUUAAGAGGAACACUAAUGGCGAAGGCGACCUGCUAGACCAUAACUGACGUUGAUGCGCGAAAGCGUGGGGAGCAAACAGGAUUAGAUACCCGAGUAGUC
RNAcentral lists this ribosomal RNA (440 nucleotides) under uncultured bacterium. RNAcentral's name for it is "partial 16S ribosomal RNA". It matches the Rfam family "Bacterial small subunit ribosomal RNA", at positions 338 to 795 of the family's 1533-position model. The record is from RNAcentral.